GUCCUUGUAGUUUAAUGGAUAGAAUGCUGGCCUCCGAAGCCGGUGAUACAGGUUCGAUUCCUGUCAGGGACA
Molecule: transfer RNA, 72 nt
Filed under: bacterium
Lineage: Bacteria
Description: tRNA-Arg
Rfam family: tRNA
About the family: Transfer RNA (tRNA) molecules are approximately 80 nucleotides in length. Their secondary structure includes four short double-helical elements and three loops (D, anti-codon, and T loops).
Source: RNAcentral